CAUUGCUCACCCACUCGUAUCAAUUCAAGUAUCACCAUCUUCUCGAUUUGUCUCCUUCUAACCCCUCUCAUUUCUCUCUCUCUCUCUCUCUCUCUCACAAUCUCACGCAGUUCAUCUUCUUACGCUAUCGACCUCAACUCAGCAAAUCAACAAGUCAUUAUUCCAUUUGAUCCAUAUUCAUUUUGGAAGUGCUCGUUUCCUCUCUUUUCUUAGCUUUGUUCUGCUGUUAGAUUUCCUUAUAAAGGAAGGUCUCCUGGAAUUUACGUUAAUUCACAUGGAUCUUGGCAAAAUGAAUGAAGCGAAACCUCAAGUGCAAGCGUUUUCCUGACGUGGAAAGAGAAUAUCACAAGUUCUGAGAUUUUUCCUGUUGGCGGGAGCAGACUUCGUUCAAUGCAGAAGGAAGAAGGUUAGUAAUCUGUUUACUGGCAGAAUUGGAUGUUGUCAACAAAUAUAGAUGUUAUUUUUGGUAGCUCCACAGUUCUCUCUCUUUCUACAUUUCUUUUAAGAAAUACAACCAAGAUGACUCAUUACUAAAAAUGAAAACACCUUUCAUCUCUACUUUAUUCCCUCUCUCUUACUUUACUCUCUCCACUUAACACACAAAAUAAAUCUGCAUAAAAACUCGUGCCGUCCAAGGAAGGGGUCAGUCAUCUCCCUUGGGACGGAGGGAGUACUAAUUAAUUUAAAAAAUUUCCUUCCUAUGAUAUAUGUUCCGUUGCAUGGGGGUUACUGGUUAGUGUGUGGUUCACGUCAAGAAAAUUGUCUUUUGAUGUGAUUUAGAGCCCCUUAUAGGACACUCGCCUGCAAUUUUGUAUUUUAUCUAAAUUUGGAAGAUAGUGAUGAAACUAAGAUGGGGUGUUUAUAGGCAAAGAAAUGAGGAAGAGAAUAAGUGCAUCACUAGGCUAGGGUUGGAUCAUGGUUGGUUGGAGCAAUUUCGAAAUUGAUAGUAGGGCUGGUGUCUGGGUGACACUGGCUAAGUGUAAGGAUUUGACAUUUUAGAAAGUAAUCGUCAACUAUCAAUAUGUAUUCAGUGGCAGGCUGGCUUGUAUCUAUUUCUAUAUGUUUUUUAUUGUUUCCUUCCGGAAAAUUCUCUUCGUUCUAUUUUAUCUAAACUAGAAGAGUAGUUUUAACCUGUAGAUUUGUUGAGUCUUAUUAAUUGACCUUCCAUAAAUUGAGCUAUAAUUGUUUCUUCUUUGACUGUUAGUUUUACAUGUCAGUUUCCGCUGCAGGAUCAGUUGAUUUAUAUUAUAACUAUAAUGCACCUGAAAGAACAAUGAUACAAUCAUGGAUAAGUAUCUUAGCACCUCGUUAACUGAUAGUUUUAUGAUACUCUUCACUUUUGGUGUAUGAUCAUUUUCCUUAAAAUGGUAUCAUCCAGCAGUGGUGCGCUAUAAGAGAAAAUAGUGUGACACGUGUCAGUUUUGACGCAUUUUCCACAAAUUCGAGCAGCUGGUGUUUGGGUGACACUGGUUAAAAAUUGAGCUAUAUUAUUUCUUUUUUUGGCCUCUAGUUUUACGAUACGUGUCAGUUCCGCCGCAGGAUCUCAGUUGAUCAAUAUAUGGAGUACUUUAAAGGACUAUAAAGGGAGGUGUUAACCGGUAGCUUAUGAUGUAGGAACAUUUUCCUUAAAAAGUAAUCAUCCUGCAUUGGUGCAGCUAUAAAAGGAAAUCACCCUGUCGCAUUUGUAUUCCAUAACUACAUGACGUAAGAGUUGACAUUUUUUGAAGUAGGGGCUUAUAUAUGCAUGUUCAUGGAAGCCAGGAAGUGCUAAAUCUAAUUUUGUAUAUUCGAUUUGGCUUAGCUUUUUCUCCCGGAAAAUUCGCCCCUUUAUUUACGUAAGCUAAAAGAGUAGUUUUAACCUGUAGCUUUUAAUAAGCCUUGUUAAGUAACCGCCCAUAAAAGCAACAUUAUUUCUUUAUUAACCACUAGUGUUAUAAUAGUUGUCAGUUUUCCCACAGGAUCAGUUGAUCAACAUUAUUACUUUAAUUCACCUCAAAGAGAAGUGUUGAAUGACGGUAGUUUAGCAUGCAUGGAUCUCAUACUAUUAGUACCUCUUCAACUGCUAGUUGUAUGACAUGUUUCAGUUCUGACGUAUGAUCAUUUUCCUUGAGUUUAAGCAUCCUGCAUUGGUGCAGGUAUAAGAAGAAAGCAAAGAAUGUCAUGAGUAAUAAUAUUAUUUGCGCCGCAUUAGACUGCUAGUUCAUGACACGUGUCACUUUUUCCGCAUUUUUCACGAAAUGCUAGGCAGCUGGAUUGGUUGAUGGCUAUAGCUGGUUAAAACAUCAAUGCUAUUAUUAUUGCUAGGCUGACACAUGUGAUUUCAAUUGUUUUAGGUUUGCGUUGUUUAGUUUUCUUGUGGCUUUUAUAGCAGUAUCACAUUUACUCUCUUACAUAUAUAGUACAUUGUGCAUAAGGAAUUACAUGAGGAUAUCUUACGGUUUAAGUUGAAGAUACAUGUAUUGAAUUUUUAUAUGGCAGCUCUUAGCAGCCUUAUCAUUCUUGAAAUAUAUUUAUCCAAGUAGUUGACUUCCGAAUGAGGUGGUACAUACGUAUGAUUUAUUAUUUGGAGCUUCAGUCUUAUUGAAUACUUGGAUAAUUUUGUUAUAUCAUGGAGUUUCAGCUUUGUAUGUAUUCCUCAAAUUACGGAGUUCUUGAGGCUAUUUUCUUUCUUAGUUCAUUGAUACUGACCUUGAUUUACAUGAGGGCUUGUUGGGAUUGAUUCCAGUUGCACUAGGCAUUUUUAAAAUAUUUUUUUAUGGAAACAAAAGGAAGAUCUUUUCUGAUGCCCUAAUAUGGAUCGUGAUACUCAAUUGUACACCAAUAUCACAAUAUUUUCUUUUAAUGGUCAAUCAUUUAUCAACAUUCUACAUUUGCCUGGUUCUAAAAGGAUUUUGGCCUUGACAAUCAAUCAUGAGGAGAUACUAAUGACUCUAAAAGUUUGACAGCAGUAGCAAUAUGUGGUGGCGAGAGAGAUUACAGGUACACUAUAGUUCCAGUAUAUAUUUUUCUUCAUUUGUUGGUUCUUAGCAUCAUAGUGAAGCCAAUUUUCUAAUUUACAUGCAAUUCAGUUUGGUGAUGUUGUGCUUCACUCAAAAUAUUGAUAAUUUGAUUUAUAGGAGUAAAAAAAAUUGGUGGGUGGGGGGCUUAAGCCCCCAUUGCUCUCUUAGCUGCUCCGCUACUGUUUUGAUGGAUGUAACAAUUUUGAGCUCGUUUAAACAUUCCAUUCUUCAAAUACUCAAUCUUAGUAGUAUUCAUAACUUAGACAUACCAAUGUCUAUGAAGCUCAAAGUCUAUAAUUUGCAAAAUGGCCAUUGUUUCAGUUUGUGAUGCAUCAAUGCUGUCUAUCUAUAUCUUCCAUCUCUCUUCUGUCUUUAUAUUUAGAAUGUUUAGACUACUUUUGCUAUUUAUCUCUUUUUUGCAGGAUACUUAUAAGCAAAAGCCCGGCUUUCAGGGUCGGUUUUCCUUGCUUUGGGUGAUGCAUUGUAUUAGGAUGUGAGCUCUACGCGGUAAUGCUUAUGCACAGUGCUGUUUUUUGUAUGAACUAUUUUUGGGGUUUGGUAGGCUCAACAAGUUAUGUUGAGAAUUUCUUGUAAUAUUGUCAAUGAAAUAUUUGUUCUAGAUAUUCUCUUUUUUUUUUUAUCUCUAUGGACUGUAAAGAACCGAAUGGAUCAACUGAUAAUAAAGCUUAUGAUUUUAUGUCA
Molecule: long non-coding RNA, 3701 nt
Organism: Salvia splendens (bonfire salvia)
Lineage: Eukaryota; Viridiplantae; Streptophyta; Magnoliopsida; Lamiales; Lamiaceae
Exons: 2
Source: RefSeq, a predicted model, not a curated record